GAUGAACGCUGGCGGUAUGCCUAACACAUGCAAGUCGUACGAGAGUUUUUAACUCUAGUGGCGGACGGGUGAGUAACACGUGAGAAUUUGCCUUUAGGAGGGGGACAACAAUCGGAAACGAAUGCUAAUACCCCAUAUGCUUUCGAGUGAAAUGGAUUUUAUCCGCCUAGAGAGAAGCUCGCGGCUGAUUAGCUUGUUGGUAAGGUAAGAGCUUACCAAGGCGACGAUCAGUAUCUGGUUUGAGAGGACGAUCAGACACACUGGAACUGAGACACGGUCCAGACUCCUACGGGAGGCUG
RNAcentral lists this ribosomal RNA (299 nucleotides) under uncultured cyanobacterium. RNAcentral's name for it is "partial 16S ribosomal RNA". It matches the Rfam family "Bacterial small subunit ribosomal RNA", at positions 28 to 351 of the family's 1533-position model. The record is from RNAcentral. Lineage: Bacteria; Bacillati; Cyanobacteriota.